UCCCCUACGGGGCGCAGCAGUGGGGAAUAUUGCGCAAUGGGGGCAACCCUGACGCAGCCAUGCCGCGUGAAUGAAGAAGGCCUUCGGGUUGUAAAGUUCUUUCGGGGACGAGGAAGGUUGUUGUGUUAAUAGCGCAACAAAUUGACGUUAAUCACAGAAGAAGCACCGGCUAACUCCGUGCCAGCAGCCGCGGUAAUACGGAGGGUGCGAGCGUUAAUCGGAAUAACUGGGCGUAAAGGGCACGCAGGCG
This 250-nucleotide ribosomal RNA is filed under the name uncultured bacterium. RNAcentral describes it as "partial 16S ribosomal RNA". It matches the Rfam family "Bacterial small subunit ribosomal RNA", at positions 335 to 577 of the family's 1533-position model. The record is from RNAcentral.